RNAcentral lists this ribosomal RNA (369 nucleotides) under Streptosporangium sp. Its description in RNAcentral is "bacterial SSU rRNA". It matches the Rfam family "Bacterial small subunit ribosomal RNA", at positions 592 to 959 of the family's 1533-position model. The record is from RNAcentral. Lineage: Bacteria; Bacillati; Actinomycetota; Actinomycetes; Streptosporangiales; Streptosporangiaceae.
GUGUGAAAGCUUGGGGCUUAACUCCAGGUCUGCAUUCGAUACGGGCUGGCUAGAGGUAGGUAGGGGAGAACGGAAUUCCUGGUGUAGCGGUGAAAUGCGCAGAUAUCAGGAGGAACACCGGUGGCGAAGGCGGUUCUCUGGGCCUUACCUGACGCUGAGGAGCGAAAGCGUGGGGAGCGAACAGGAUUAGAUACCCUGGUAGUCCACGCUGUAAACGUUGGGCGCUAGGUGUGGGGGCCUUCCACGGUUUCCGCGCCGUAGCUAACGCAUUAAGCGCCCCGCCUGGGGAGUACGGCCGCAAGGCUAAAACUCAAAGGAAUUGACGGGGGCCCGCACAAGCGGCGGAGCAUGUUGCUUAAUUCGACGCAA